CCUACGGGAGACAGCAGUGGGGGAUAUUGCACAAUGGGGGGAACCCUGAUGCAGCGACGCCGCGUGGGUGAAGAAGCGCCUCGGCGCGUAAAGCCCUGUCAGCAGGGAAGAAAAUGCCGGUACCUGAAGAAGAAGCCCCGCCUAACUACGUGCCAGCAGCCGCGGUAAUCCGAAGGGGGCAAGCGUUAGCCGGAUUUACUGGGUGUAAAGGGGGCGCAGACGGGGAUGCAAGCCAGGAGUGAAAGCCCGGGGCCAAACCCCGGGACUGCUCUUGGAACUGCGUGGCUGGAGUGCAGGAGGGGCAGGCGGAAGUCCUGGUGUAGCGGUGAAAUGCGUAGAUAUCAGGAGGAACACCGGUGGCGAAGGCGGCCUGCUGGACUGCAACUGACGUUGAGGCCCGAAAGCGUGGGGAGCAAACAGGAUUAGAUACCCGGGUAGUC
This 440-nucleotide ribosomal RNA is filed under the name uncultured bacterium. RNAcentral describes it as "partial 16S ribosomal RNA". It matches the Rfam family "Bacterial small subunit ribosomal RNA", at positions 338 to 795 of the family's 1533-position model. The record is from RNAcentral.